This 73-nucleotide transfer RNA is filed under the name Schistocerca americana (American grasshopper). RNAcentral's name for it is "tRNA-Ala". It matches the Rfam family "tRNA". Rfam says of the family: Transfer RNA (tRNA) molecules are approximately 80 nucleotides in length. Lineage: Eukaryota; Metazoa; Arthropoda; Insecta; Orthoptera; Acrididae. RNAcentral also lists the same sequence under 4 other names. The record is from RNAcentral.
GGGGGCGUAGCUCAGUUGGUAGAGCGUUCGCUUUGCAUGUGGAAGGUCCCGGGUUCAAGCCCCGGCGCCUCCA